This 200-nucleotide ribosomal RNA is filed under the name uncultured prokaryote. RNAcentral's name for it is "partial 16S ribosomal RNA". It matches the Rfam family "Bacterial small subunit ribosomal RNA", at positions 1183 to 1382 of the family's 1533-position model. The record is from RNAcentral.
CGUCAAGUCAUCAUGGCCCUUAUGCCCAGGGCCACACACGUGCUACAAUGGGCGGUACAGAGCGAGGCGAGGCCGCGAGGCCGGAGCGAAGCGCGAAAGCCGCCCGUAGUCCGGAUUGAAGUCUGAAACCCGACUUCAUGAAGCUGGAAUCGCUAGUAAUCGCGCAUCAGCACGGCGCGGUGAAUACGUUCCCGGGCCUU